Molecule: ribosomal RNA, 484 nt
Filed under: uncultured bacterium
Lineage: Bacteria
Description: partial 16S ribosomal RNA
Rfam family: Bacterial small subunit ribosomal RNA
Source: RNAcentral
AUUGAACGCUGGCGGCAGGCCUAACACAUGCAAGUCGAGCGGAUGAAGGGAGCUUGCUCCUGGAUUCAGCGGCGGACGGGUGAGUAAUGCCUAGGAAUCUGCCUUGUAGUGGGGGAUAACGUCCGGAAACGGGCGCUAAUACCGCAUACGUCCUGAGGGAGAAAGUGGGGGAUCUUCGGACCUCACGCUAUCAGAUGAGCCUAGGUCGGAUUAGCUAGUUGGUGGGGUAAAGGCCUACCAAGGCGACGAUCCGUAACUGGUCUGAGAGGAUGAUCAGUCACACUGGAACUGAGACACGGUCCAGACUCCUACGGGAGGCAGCAGUGGGGAAUAUUGGACAAUGGGCGAAAGCCUGAUCCAGCCAUGCCGCGUGUGUGAAGAAGGUCUUCGGAUUGUAAAGCACUUUAAGUUGGGAGGAAGGGCAGUAAGUUAAUACCUUGCUGUUUUGACGGUACCAACAGAAUAAGCACCGGCUAACUUCGUG